UACGUAGGGGGCAAGCGUUAUCCGGAUUUACUGGGUGUAAAGGGAGUGUAGACGGCAUGGCAAGUCAGAUGUGAAAGCCCGGGGCUCAACCCCGGGACUGCAUUUGAAACUGUCAGGCUGGAGUGCAGGAGAGGUAAGCGGAAUUCCUAGUGUAGCGGUGAAAUGCGUAGAUAUUAGGAGGAACACCAGUGGCGAAGGCGGCUUACUGGACUGUAACUGACGUUGAGGCUCGAAAGCGUGGGGAGCAAACAGG
This 253-nucleotide ribosomal RNA is filed under the name uncultured bacterium. RNAcentral's name for it is "partial 16S ribosomal RNA". It matches the Rfam family "Bacterial small subunit ribosomal RNA", at positions 524 to 776 of the family's 1533-position model. The record is from RNAcentral.